GACUGGAUAGCUCAGGUGGUUAAAGCUUGGUGCUGAUAAUGCCAAGGUUGCAGGUUAGAUCCCCGUAUGGGACA
This is a non-coding RNA of Podarcis lilfordi (Lilford's wall lizard), 74 nucleotides long. The record is from the annotation of a GenBank genome assembly. NCBI's taxonomy places the organism in Eukaryota, Metazoa, Chordata, Lepidosauria, Squamata, Lacertidae.